RNAcentral lists this ribosomal RNA (464 nucleotides) under uncultured bacterium. Its description in RNAcentral is "partial 16S ribosomal RNA". It matches the Rfam family "Bacterial small subunit ribosomal RNA", at positions 339 to 795 of the family's 1533-position model. The record is from RNAcentral.
CUACGGGAGGCUGCAGUGGGGAAUAUUGGACAAUGGGGGAAACCCUGAUCCAGCAAUGCCGCGUGUGUGAAGAAGGCCUGCGGGUUGUAAAGCACUUUCGGUUGGGAGGACUGCUUCUAGCACUAAUAUUGUUGGAAGUUGACGUUACCUUCAGAAGAAGCACCGGCUAACUCCGUGCCAGCAGCCGCGGUAAUACGGAGGGUGCAGGCGUUAAUCGGAAUUACUGGGCGUAAAGCGCGCGUAGGCGGCUAGAUCAGUCGGGUGUGAAAGCCCCGGGCUUAACCUGGGAACUGCAUCCGAUACUGUCUAGCUUGAGUACAGGAGAGGAGAGUGGAAUUCCACAUGUAGCGGUGAAAUGCGUAGAUAUGUGGAGGAACACCAAUGGCGAAGGCAGCUCUCUGGCCUGAUACUGACGCUGAGGUGCGAAAGCGUGGGGAGCAAACAGGAUAGAUACCCUAGUAGUC